Suricata suricatta (meerkat) is the source of this 309-nucleotide long non-coding RNA. RefSeq lists it as uncharacterized. The transcript has 3 exons. The record is from RefSeq and is a predicted model, not a curated record. NCBI's taxonomy places the organism in Eukaryota, Metazoa, Chordata, Mammalia, Carnivora, Herpestidae.
ACAGAGGGACUUUCAUUUUGAGGUCUGGCUGGGCCUUUGAAUGUGUUCCAUGUUUCUCCCUAGAUCACCCCAGAGGCAAAAUUCAGUUUCUGCUGGUUUUUCCAAGAAAUCUACUCAUGCCAAAUCUUGGUAAUAGCCAGUAUCAACUGCCAGACACAUGAAUGAAGAAGUCUUCAUAUUAUUCCAUCUCCAGGCUUAGAGCGUUCUAGCUGAGGCCCCUUUAUCACAGUAGAGGGCAGACCUGAGAGAUGCAGAUGAAAGGAAUGGGGCAGUGAGAAGAGAAUCUUCAACACAUCUAAGUUGGCAGAG